This 81-nucleotide transfer RNA is filed under the name Emiliania huxleyi virus PS401. Its description in RNAcentral is "tRNA-Leu". It matches the Rfam family "tRNA". Rfam says of the family: Transfer RNA (tRNA) molecules are approximately 80 nucleotides in length. Their secondary structure includes four short double-helical elements and three loops (D, anti-codon, and T loops). Lineage: Varidnaviria; Bamfordvirae; Nucleocytoviricota; Megaviricetes; Algavirales; Phycodnaviridae. The record is from RNAcentral.
GCGGGUGUGGCAGAGUGGUUAUUGCGCCGGGCUUAAGUCCCGGUUCCGGAAGGAUCUCAGGUUCGAACCCUGACGCCCGCA